GAUGAACGCUGGCGGCGUGCCUAAUACAUGCAAGUCGAGCGAACAGACGAGGAGCUUGCUCCUCUGACGUUAGCGGCGGACAGGUGAGUAACACGUGGAUAACCUACCUAUAAGACUGGGAUAACUUCGGGAAACCGGAGCUAAUACCGGAUAAUAUAUUGAACCGCAUGGUUCAAUAGUGAAAGACGGUUUUGCUGUCACUUAUAGAUGGAUCCGCGCCGCAUUAGCUAGUUGGUAAGGUAACGGCUUACCAAGGCAACGAUGCGUAGCCGACCUGAGAGGGUGAUCGGCCACACUGGAACUGAGACACGGUCCAGACUCCUACGGGAGGCAGCAGUAGGGAAUCUUCCGCAAUGGGCGAAAGCCUGACGGAGCAACGCCGCGUGAGUGAUGAAGGUCUUCGGAUCGUAAAACUUUGUUAUUAGGGAAGAACAAAUGUGUAAGUAACUAUGCACGUCUUGACGGUACCUAAUCAGAAAGCCACGGCUAACUACGUG
RNAcentral lists this ribosomal RNA (497 nucleotides) under uncultured bacterium. RNAcentral describes it as "partial 16S ribosomal RNA". It matches the Rfam family "Bacterial small subunit ribosomal RNA", at positions 28 to 507 of the family's 1533-position model. The record is from RNAcentral.